AUCCAGCUGACGAGUUCCGGAUAGGACGAAACGCGCAUCCUGGAU
Molecule: non-coding RNA, 45 nt
Organism: Schistosoma mansoni
Lineage: Eukaryota; Metazoa; Platyhelminthes; Trematoda; Strigeidida; Schistosomatidae
Source: Rfam